This 927-nucleotide long non-coding RNA is filed under the name Mytilus galloprovincialis (Mediterranean mussel). Lineage: Eukaryota; Metazoa; Mollusca; Bivalvia; Mytilida; Mytilidae. The record is from RNAcentral.
AAAAAUCAAAACUGAGUUAUUUUAAAGGCAAUAUUAAAGCUCCAGUAUGUAAUAUUGGUAUUAAAUAAAGAAAUAAUGAUGCUUAUGAUUAAUUAUAUUUCAUUCAUGCAUAAAAAAAAAACUAAAUAUUUUGCUAGAAGUCCAUUUAACUGUCAAAAUGUUAUACUGUGGGAUGAAAAGGUUUUUUUAAGUGCCUCCCCCCAAACCCCUACCAAAUAGACUGAGCUCUUAGUUAACUGUGAAUUUAAACCAGUCCAAUAAGGGAAGAAACACUUGUUCUUAGCAAUGGAUCUAUAUUGUUUUGGAUCUAUAUUGUUCAAUUAGACCAGUUCAGUAAGCAUGAAAUAUUUGUUAUUAACAAUGGAUCUGUAUUGCAUUUAAGUUCAAUUAGACCAGUUCAGUAAGCGUGAAAUAUUUGUGUAUUAACAAUGAAUCUGUACUGAAUUUGCUCCUCUACUUUUUCAAUUUCUGCCAGAUGUUUGGAAUCCUCUGGUUUUAUUCAGGUUUUAACAUUAAAAACAUUUGCCCAAUAACCCCUACUGUUUUUUUCAUAUUUUUAUUACAUAUUAUUUAAAAAGUCAUGUUUCAAAAUCUUAUGAAAUCCUUGUUACUUUUUCAUAGUUAUUAAAAUGAAUAAAAGGUGCCAAUGUUAAGUGUAAGAAAAAUCUAGAGAGAAUUAUUUCCCGCCAAAUUUUCAACAACUUAUAUCUCGAAAACAAGCACAGGGUCUGUGUGCUUGUUUCAUUUUUUUCUGCUUUUUUAGUUUUCUUUAUUUAUAUACUUUCAAUUUAUAACAGUCUUUAAAAAAUCUUGUUAUUUUUAAACAGAGUAGCGAACAUCCUUAAGUUCAAUUAGACCAGUUCAGUAAGGAAAGAAAUAUUUGUUCUAAGCAAGCCAUCUAUAAUGCACUAAAGUGUAACAAUCAAG